Molecule: transfer RNA, 57 nt
Filed under: Brentisentis yangtzensis
Lineage: Eukaryota; Metazoa; Acanthocephala; Palaeacanthocephala; Echinorhynchida; Leptorhynchoididae
Description: tRNA-Met
Source: RNAcentral
GUGAAGGUAGGCUAAUGCAAGCUUUAGGGCUCAUACUCCUAAGAUCAUUGCUUCACU